RNAcentral lists this transfer RNA (76 nucleotides) under Bacteroidetes bacterium QS_8_64_10. RNAcentral describes it as "tRNA-Ala". It matches the Rfam family "tRNA". From Rfam's summary of the family: Transfer RNA (tRNA) molecules are approximately 80 nucleotides in length. Their secondary structure includes four short double-helical elements and three loops (D, anti-codon, and T loops). Further hydrogen bonds mediate the characteristic L-shaped molecular structure. tRNAs have two regions of fundamental functional importance: the anti-codon, which is responsible for specific mRNA codon recognition, and the 3' end, to which the tRNAs corresponding amino acid is attached (by aminoacyl-tRNA synthetases). tRNAs cope with the degeneracy of the genetic code in two manners: having more than one tRNA (with a specific anti-codon) for a particular amino acid; and 'wobble' base-pairing, i.e. permitting non-standard base-pairing at the 3rd anti-codon position. The record is from RNAcentral. Lineage: Bacteria; Pseudomonadati; Bacteroidota.
GGGGCCAUAGCUCAGUCGGUAGAGCGCAUGCAUGGCAUGCAUGAGGUCGGGGGUUCGAGUCCCCCUGGCUCCACCU